CCUACGGGAGACAGCAGUGAGGAAUAUUGGUCAAUGGGCGGAAGCCUGAACCAGCCAAGUAGCGUGCGGGAUGAAGGCCCUACGGGUCGUAAACCGCUUUUGCACGGGGAUAACACCCGCCACGUGUGGAGGUCUGCAGGUACCGUGCGAAUAAGGGCCGGCUAAUUCCGUGCCAGCAGCCGCGGUAAUACGGAAGGACCGAGCGUUAUCCGGAUUGAUUGGGCUUACAGGGAGCGUAGGCGGGCGUUCAAGUCAGCUGUAAAAUCGCGCGGCUCAACCGCGCCCCGCAGUUGAAACUGGCCGCCUUGAGUUCACUACAGGCAGGCGGCAUUCGUGGUGUAGCGGUGACAUGCAUAGAUAUCACGAGGAACCCCGAUUGCGAAGGCAGCCUGCCGGGGUGCGACUGACGCUGAGGCUCGAAGGUGCGGGUAUCAAACAGGAUUAGAUACCCUUGUAGUC
Molecule: ribosomal RNA, 459 nt
Filed under: uncultured bacterium
Lineage: Bacteria
Description: partial 16S ribosomal RNA
Rfam family: Bacterial small subunit ribosomal RNA
Source: RNAcentral